Molecule: transfer RNA, 55 nt
Filed under: Baylisascaris schroederi (giant panda roundworm)
Lineage: Eukaryota; Metazoa; Nematoda; Chromadorea; Rhabditida; Ascarididae
Description: tRNA-His
Source: RNAcentral
AGCUUUGUAGUUUAUGUUAAAAUGCCUGCUUGUGGUGCGGGUGAAGUGGGGGCUU